GACGAACGCUGGCGGCGUGCCUAAUACAUGCAAGUAGAACGCUGAAGAGAGGAGCUUGCUCUUCUUGGAUGAGUUGCGAACGGGUGAGUAACGCGUAGGUAACCUGCCUUGUAGCGGGGGAUAACUAUUGGAAACGAUAGCUAAUACCGCAUAACAAUGGAUGACACAUGUCAUUUAUUUGAAAGGGGCAAUUGCUCCACUACAAGAUGGACCUGCGUUGUAUUAGCUAGUAGGUGAGGUAAUGGCUCACCUAGGCGACGAUACAUAGCCGACCUGAGAGGGUGAUCGGCCACACUGGGACUGAGACACGGCCCAGACUCCUACGGGAGGCAGCAGUAGGGAAUCUUCGGCAAUGGGGGCAACCCUGACCGAGCAACGCCGCGUGAGUGAAGAAGGUUUUCGGAUCGUAAAGCUCUGUUGUAAGUCAAGGACGGGUGUGAGAGUGGAAAGUUCACACUGUGACGGUAGCUUACCAGAAAGGGACGGCUAACUACGUG
RNAcentral lists this ribosomal RNA (497 nucleotides) under uncultured bacterium. RNAcentral's name for it is "partial 16S ribosomal RNA". It matches the Rfam family "Bacterial small subunit ribosomal RNA", at positions 28 to 507 of the family's 1533-position model. The record is from RNAcentral.